Molecule: ribosomal RNA, 1316 nt
Filed under: Streptomyces rubiginosohelvolus
Lineage: Bacteria; Bacillati; Actinomycetota; Actinomycetes; Kitasatosporales; Streptomycetaceae
Description: bacterial SSU rRNA
Rfam family: Bacterial small subunit ribosomal RNA
Source: RNAcentral
GCGAACGGGUGAGUAACACGUGGGCAAUCUGCCCUUCACUCUGGGACAAGCCCUGGAAACGGGGUCUAAUACCGGAUAAUACCCUGUCCCUCCUGGGACGGGGUUGAAAGCUCCGGCGGUGAAGGAUGAGCCCGCGGCCUAUCAGCUUGUUGGUGGGGUAAUGGCCUACCAAGGCGACGACGGGUAGCCGGCCUGAGAGGGCGACCGGCCACACUGGGACUGAGACACGGCCCAGACUCCUACGGGAGGCAGCAGUGGGGAAUAUUGCACAAUGGGCGAAAGCCUGAUGCAGCGACGCCGCGUGAGGGAUGACGGCCUUCGGGUUGUAAACCUCUUUCAGCAGGGAAGAAGCGAAAGUGACGGUACCUGCAGAAGAAGCGCCGGCUAACUACGUGCCAGCAGCCGCGGUAAUACGUAGGGCGCAAGCGUUGUCCGGAAUUAUUGGGCGUAAAGAGCUCGUAGGCGGCUUGUCACGUCGGAUGUGAAAGCCCGGGGCUUAACCCCGGGUCUGCAUUCGAUACGGGCAGGCUAGAGUGUGGUAGGGGAGAUCGGAAUUCCUGGUGUAGCGGUGAAAUGCGCAGAUAUCAGGAGGAACACCGGUGGCGAAGGCGGAUCUCUGGGCCAUUACUGACGCUGAGGAGCGAAAGCGUGGGGAGCGAACAGGAUUAGAUACCCUGGUAGUCCACGCCGUAAACGUUGGGAACUAGGUGUUGGCGACAUUCCACGUCGUCGGUGCCGCAGCUAACGCAUUAAGUUCCCCGCCUGGGGAGUACGGCCGCAAGGCUAAAACUCAAAGGAAUUGACGGGGGGCCCGCACAAGCAGCGGAGCAUGUGGCUUAAUUCGACGCAACGCGAAGAACCUUACCAAGGCUUGACAUAUACCGGAAAGCAUCCAGAGAUGGUGCCCCCCUUGUGGUCGGUAUACAGGUGGUGCAUGGCUGUCGUCAGCCUCGUGUCGUGAGAUGUUGGGUUAAGUCCCGCAACGAGCGCAACCCUUGUUCUGUGUUGCCAGCAUGCCCUUCGGGGUGAUGGGGACUCACAGGAGACUGCCGGGGUCAACUCGGAGGAAGGUGGGGACGACGUCAAGUCAUCAUGCCCCUUAUGUCUUGGGCUGCACACGUGCUACAAUGGCCGGUACAAUGAGCUGCGAUGCCGCGAGGCGGAGCGAAUCUCAAAAAGCCGGUCUCAGUUCGGAUUGGGGUCUGCAACUCGACCCCAUGAAGUCGGAGUUGCUAGUAAUCGCAGAUCAGCAUUGCUGCGGUGAAUACGUUCCCGGGCCUUGUACACACCGCCCGUCACGUCACGAAAGUCGGUAA